AUUGAACGCUGGCGGCAGGCCUAACACAUGCAAGUCGAGCGGAUGAAGGGAGCUUGCUCCUGGAUUCAGCGGCGGACGGGUGAGUAAUGCCUAGGAAUCUGCCUGGUAGUGGGGCAUAACGUCCGGAAACGGGCGCUAAUACCGCAUACGUCCUGAGGGAGAAAGUGGGGGAUCUUCGGACCUCACGCUAUCAGAUGAGCCUAGGUCGGAUUAGCUAGUUGGUGGGGUAAAGGCCUACCAAGGCGACGAUCCGUAACUGGUCUGAGAGGAUGAUCAGUCACACUGGAACUGAGACACGGUCCAGACUCCUACGGGAGGCAGCAGUGGGAAAUAUUGGACCAUGGGCGAAAGCCUGAUCCAGCCAUGCCGCGUGUGUGAAGAAGGUCUUCGGAUUGUAAAGCACUUUAAGUUGGGAGGAAGGGCAGUAAGUUAAUACCUUGCUGUUUUGACGUUACCAACAGAAUAAGCACCGGCUAACUUCGUG
Molecule: ribosomal RNA, 484 nt
Filed under: uncultured bacterium
Lineage: Bacteria
Description: partial 16S ribosomal RNA
Rfam family: Bacterial small subunit ribosomal RNA
Source: RNAcentral